UGGGGAAUAUUGGACAAUGGGGGCAACCCUGAUCCAGCCAUGCCGCGUGAAUGAUGAAGGCCUUAGGGUUGUAAAGUUCUUUUACCGAUGAAGAUAAUGACGGUAGUCGGAGAAAAAGCCCCGGCUAACUUCGUGCCAGCAGCCGCGGUAAUACGAAGGGGGCUAGCGUUGUUCGGAUUUACUGGGCGUAAAGCGCACGUAGGUGGUGUCGCAAGUCAGUGGUGAAAUCCCAGGGCUCAACCCUGGAACUGCCAUUGAAACUGCGAUGCUGGAAUCUCAAAGGGGGUGCGGAAUUGCUAAUGUAGGGGUGAAAUCCGUAGAUAUUAGCAGGAACACCGAUGGCGAAGGCAGCCACCUGGACGUGUAUUGACGCUGAGGUGCGAAAGCGUGGGGAGCAAACAGGAUUAGAUACCCUUGUAGUCCCUGAGCGGGCUGGCAAGGCGCAU
RNAcentral lists this ribosomal RNA (446 nucleotides) under uncultured bacterium. Its description in RNAcentral is "bacterial SSU rRNA". It matches the Rfam family "Bacterial small subunit ribosomal RNA", at positions 355 to 825 of the family's 1533-position model. The record is from RNAcentral.